This 484-nucleotide ribosomal RNA is filed under the name uncultured bacterium. RNAcentral's name for it is "partial 16S ribosomal RNA". It matches the Rfam family "Bacterial small subunit ribosomal RNA", at positions 30 to 507 of the family's 1533-position model. The record is from RNAcentral.
AUUGAACGCUGGCGGCAGGCCUAACACAUGCAAGUCGAGCGGACGAAGGGAGCUUGCUCCUGGAUUCAGCGGCGGACGGGUGAGUAAUGCCUAGGAAUCUGCCUGGUAGUGGGGGAUAACGUCAGGAAACGGGCGCUAAUAUCGCAUACGUCCUGAGGGUGAAAGUGGGGGAUCUUCGGACCUCACGCGAUCAGAUGAGCCUAGGUCGGAUUAGCUAGUUGGUGGGGUAAGGGCCUACCAAGGCGACGAUCCGUAACUGAUCUGAGAGGGUGAUCAGUCACACUGGAACUGAGACACGGUCCAGACUCCUACGGGAGGCAGCAGUGGGGAAUAUUGGACAAUGGGCGAAAGCCUGAUGCAGCAAUGCCGCGUGUGUGAAGAAGGUCUUCGGAUUGUAAAGCACUGUUAGUUGGGAGGAAGAACAGUGUGUUAAUACCUUGAUGUCUUGACGGUACCAACAGAAUAAGCACCGGCUAACUUCGUG